AUGGUGCUCUCCCGGGCCGUCUCGGACACCGACGUGUCGGUGCACUCCACGUUCGCCUCGCGCUAUGUCCGGUCGUCUCUCCCGAGGUACCACAUGCCGGAGAAGUCGAUCCCCAAGGAGGCGGCGUACCAGAUCAUCAACGAUGAGCUGAUGCUGGACGGCAACCCGCGGCUGAACCUGGCGUCGUUCGUCACGACGUGGAUGGAGCCCGAGUGCGACAAGCUCGUCAUGGCCUCCAUGAACAAGAACUACGUGGACAUGGACGAGUACCCCGUCACCACCGAGUUCCAGAACCGGUGCGUGAACAUGAUCGCGCAUCUCUUCCACGCGCCACUGGGUGAGUCGGAGACGGCCGUGGGCGUGGGCACGGUGGGUUCAUCGGAGGCCAUCAUGCUGGCGGGGCUGGCCUUCAAGAGGAAGUGGCAGAACAAGCGCAGGGCCGAGGGCAAGCCAUUCGACAAGCCCAACAUCGUCACAGGCGCCAACGUCCAAGUCUGCUGGGAGAAGUUCGCCAGGUACUUCGAGGUGGAGCUCAAGGAGGUGAAGCUGCGGGAGGGGUACUACGUGAUGGACCCGGAGCAGGCGGUGGAGAUGGUCGACGAGAACACCAUCUGCGUCGCGGCGAUCCUAGGCUCGACGCUCAACGGCGAGUUCGAGGACGUGAAGCGCAUCAACGACCUGCUCGAAGAGAAGAACAAGGAGACAGGGUGGGAGACGGCGAUCCACGUGGACGCGGCGAGCGGCGGCUUCAUCGCGCCGUUCCUGUACCCGGAGCUGGAGUGGGACUUCCGGCUGCCGUGGGUGAAGAGCAUCAACGUCAGCGGCCACAAGUACGGCCUCGUCUACCCCGGCAUCGGCUGGUGCGUCUGGCGCACCAAGGACGACCUGCCGGACGACCUCGUCUUCCACAUCAACUACCUCGGCACCGACCAGCCCACCUUCACGCUCAACUUCUCCAAGGGCUCCAGCCAGGUCAUCGCGCAGUACUACCAGUUCAUCCGCCAAGGCUUCGAGGGGUACAGGAACAUCAUGGAGAACUGCCAGGAGAACGCCAUGGUGGUCAAGGAGGGCCUGGAGAGGACGGGCCGCUUCAACAUCGUGUCCAAGGACCAAGGCGUGCCGCUCGUGGCCUUCUCCCUCAAGGACCACACCCGCCACGACGAGUUCGAGGUCUCCGACAUGUUGCGCCGCUUCGGCUGGAUCGUGCCGGCGUACACCAUGCCCGCCGACGCGCAGCACGUCACGGUGCUCCGCGUCGUCAUCCGGGAGGAGUUCAGUCGCACCCUCGCCGAGCGCCUCGUCCUCCACAUCGACACCGUCAUGAACCAGCUCGACGCGCUCCCGUCCAACAGCGUCUGCCAGUAA
Molecule: ribosomal RNA, 1365 nt
Filed under: Triticum aestivum (bread wheat)
Lineage: Eukaryota; Viridiplantae; Streptophyta; Magnoliopsida; Poales; Poaceae
Description: partial small subunit ribosomal RNA
Source: RNAcentral